CCGUUGCCUUUUAUCGUUUCUAUCACUGAUGAUCGUGAUAAGCGAUGAGAGACAAUGAUA
Molecule: microRNA precursor, 60 nt
Filed under: Pristionchus pacificus
Lineage: Eukaryota; Metazoa; Nematoda; Chromadorea; Rhabditida; Neodiplogasteridae
Description: microRNA ppc-mir-8302 precursor
Source: miRBase by way of RNAcentral